This 497-nucleotide ribosomal RNA is filed under the name uncultured bacterium. RNAcentral's name for it is "partial 16S ribosomal RNA". It matches the Rfam family "Bacterial small subunit ribosomal RNA", at positions 28 to 507 of the family's 1533-position model. The record is from RNAcentral.
GAUGAACGCUGGCGGCGUGCCUAAUACAUGCAAGUCGAGCGAACAGACGAGGAGCUUGCUCCUUCGACGUUAGCGGCGGACGGGUGAGUAACACGUAGGUAACCUACCUAUAAGACUGGGAUAACUUCGGGAAACCGGAGCUAAUACCGGAUAAUAUUUCGAACCGCAUGGUUCGAUAGUGAAAGAUGGCUUUGCUAUCACUUAUAGAUGGACCUGCGCCGUAUUAGCUAGUUGGUAAGGUAACGGCUUACCAAGGCAACGAUACGUAGCCGACCUGAGAGGGUGAUCGGCCAAACUGGAACUGAGACACGGUCCAGACUCCUAAGGGAGGCAGCAGUAGGGAAUCUUCCGCAAUGGGCGAAAGCCUGACGGAGCAACGCCGCGUGAGUGAUGAAGGUCUUCGGAUCGUAAAACUCUGUUAUUAGGGAAGAACAAACGUGUAAGUAACUGUGCACGUCUUGACGGUACCUAAUCAGAAAGCCACGGCUAACUACGUG